Molecule: long non-coding RNA, 7617 nt
Filed under: Homo sapiens (human)
Lineage: Eukaryota; Metazoa; Chordata; Mammalia; Primates; Hominidae
Description: HSALNT0232250
Source: RNAcentral
ACUAGUGAGAAUCCAAUGAGAAAGCUACAGUCUGCAUCUGGAAGAGGACCCUCACUAGAACCUGAGCGGGCUGGAACCCUGAUGUUGGACAUCCAGCCUCCAAAACUGUGAGAAAUGUAUUUCUGUUGUUUUUAAGCCAUUUGGUCAAUAAUAUUUUUGUUACAGCAGUCCAAGUUGGCUAGGAUGCCUACCCUGAUGCAUAAAAACAGAUCUGCUGUAGCAAAACAGUAUUGUUCACCAUGCAGCACUCUUUCUUUCAGUCUCUUUCAUAGUAGAGUUAAGGUCAUGUGGCUAGUCUGGCCAAUGGGCUAUGAGCAAAAUUGGUAUGAAUUAUUCUUGGCCCAAGGUAGUUAGAAAAGGAUGUAAUUUCUUUAUGGUCUCUCAGACGUUUUCCAUUAUUUUCAUGGCUGGAAGUGAAGAGCACCACCAUUCCAGAGUUGCUGAAAUGAAGCAGCCAAGGCCCAGCUUAGAUGUCCCAAUUGAUGAUGGAUGAGAGUGUUAAACCUCCAUCCUGCACAGGAUGGAACACCAGGAGCCCCAAAUCUACGUUUUAAAGAAGCACUUACUGUAGCAGUCUGGAUAGGCUAGGAUACACAAUGGAAAACUAAAUCUCAAGACCUCAAAAUAACAAGAGUAAAUGCCGUUUUGUCAAUGAAAGAGGGAUGCUUGCGAUGAUGUGAAGGAUGUCUGAGAAGAGGUGUAUUUCUGAAGGAAAGAAAGAACACAGCAUACUCCUUGGAUAAAUCUCAUUUUCUUCCUUGUUAAGCCUUUUUUUCCCAUUGCAUUCUCUACAAACCCCUGGCCCACUCUUUCCUCCUCUUUCUACUUCCUUCCUUUCUCACCUGUACCCCAAACUAUAUUUGUAAACUCUUGCAGUGUUACUUUUGCACAGGGCUUGAAAUAUUUAACACCUUUGUUUUUAAUACAUGAGAAAAAUAAGAUCUAUAGGAAAGGAAACAACUUAACCAGUUUGAACAGGUAAUUGAUAGACUACAGUCCUCUCUCAAAUGUUUACUAAUGACACAUAUGCAUGGAGAUGGGAAUGUAUACAUACACACACACACAUACACACACACACAAACACACGUAUUGACUGGUUGAAACAUGACAGUUCUCCAGUACCUGGGAAUUAAAGGAGGGUGCAUUAGCCAUCCCUACCUUUACCUCAAUAUCCAUUUUAGGAAGGAUUAGAAAUUAAUUUACAUGAUUGAACAUACCAAGGGCUUUGAAAGCAGAAAAAUAUGAAAUUCAGAUUUUUCACUUCUUCAUCCUGGAGGUUCAGUUUUCCCAACACUAAAAUGAGGAUAGUAACACCAAACAUGGGAAUUGUUGAAGUGAUCAGUGAAAUAGAUGCUGUAUUAUAGGCCUAGCUCAGUUUAUGCUCUUAUCUUAAGAUUCUCUCUCUGGAAACCAAACCACCCCUGGAAUGGGCUCUGGUGGUCCUUACAUGAACAUAAGGCAUGCAUAACCCCUUUGAUAUUGUGAGUGUUUCUCUGCAUAUGAGCAUUCUUUUCUUCAGGGAAAAGUUCCUAACUUUUAUUAGAUUCUCAAAGUUGUCUGUAUUUCCUAUUAUUUUAAGAAAACUGACUUAAAUAGAAGGUGUAAUUGCGAAUGUUAACAAUAAUAAUUACAAACACCAUAACAUUACUAAUAUUUCACUACAAACAAAUAAUAAUAGUAUUAUUAUUAAUAUUCAAUUAUCUGAACAUGAGCCAAAAUUGGUGGAUGAAUCACAUUUAAAUCAUCGGGUGCUUUGCUUUCACCAGGUAAAAAGUUCCAAUUUCUUCUUAUUACAUUAAAUCUUAAGAACCUAUUUCACUCUUAUCCACAAAAAGGAACUCAUUUCCCCUAGAAAGGCAGGCUAAUGAGGUCUGCUUAAUUUAUAGCUGGGUCCAUUUAUGUGGUGGUUUCAUUAACAAAGACAUCUAUUUAAUUCAAUAGAUUCCUACACGUGGUACACAUAGAAGACACUACUACCCCCAUUCACUCCCCAUCCAUUCAUUACCCUAAUGCUUCUGACACACACAAACAAACCUUGUUUUACAAAUUGCUUAGAGAUUUGAUUAUUGCAUCAUGCAUUUUGUUGUAACAAGAAAGGUGAUUUAAAAUCAUUAGUCCUAAAAUUUAGUCCUGUGUGUGCUUUGAAGUCAAGGGGAACAAUUUGUCAGCUGGUUGAUCUUUUGCUUCUAAAGCUAGUUAACUGAUCAAUCUAAUGUCAAAGGAACAGAGAUAAAUGGGAGACAUUUUACUAUGUAGAAAACGGUACAUGAAGAUAAAUCCAACACUGUGCUUUAUUUCAUCUGCAGUUAUCUUUGUAGUAAUUGCUUUGGAAGACUCAAGGUGCUCUUUGCACAUAGGGAGUGUUAGAAGCCUUUAAAUCAUCUGCAUAGACUAGUAGCUUCUUGCUGCGAAUCUUGCUUUGCUCCAUUUUUGGGUAGAGAGGACAAUAAUCUCCUACUAUAAAUGCAAAUUUGGCAAGGACCAAAGGUUGGGAUUCUUGACUAGUUGUUUAUUGAACAAUCAAUUCAUACAUUUCUGAAAUUUCUUGACAUGCUUGCAAAGUAGAUCCAUUCCUUAUUGAAUUCAUUUGAUUUUCACUAUGACCAUAAUGAUUAAACUAGUUCUGGAGUAAACGUUUCCUAAUGAACAGAUUUGGAUGUACCAGCUGUUCCAGUUAUCUCUGUACAAAACAACCCCCCCAACUAUCUGGCUUAAAACAAAAGACAUAUAUUUCAUAAUUUUGUAAAUCAAAAAUUGAAAUUGAGUGACAACAGCAAAGGAAACUUAAAAAUAUUUAGCCAUCAAUGAACUGUAGGGUCCAAUAUACCUUCAUUUACAUGUCUGGUACCUUGGAUGCAGGGAAUGAUUGGAAGGCUUGUCUAGUAGACUCAGCUGUGACUGCCAAUCAGAGUACCUCCAUUUGGCUUCUCCAACAAGAAGUAUCAGAUAAACUUCUUACUUGACAUCUCAGGGCUCUCAGAGAGUUCUAAAAGGCCAUACUGGAAGCUGCAACAGUUCUUAUCAGAGUAUCAGUUGCUACUAGGUCAAUUUAUGGACAAAUCACUCAGGUCAUCUCAGACUCAAGGUAAGAGAAACUAGACUCUACCUCAUAGAGAAGAGAAAAACACGGUAUCCAUAUCCUUCUUUAAUCUACCACUCCAGAACAUUUUGAUUCUAUACAAGACCCAUUAUCAAAUCAUUCUGCUGCCAUCACCUCAAGGUUUUAUAUGUUUUAGAAUGUUCAGCAAGACAGAUCAUGGUCAGGGUAAAAGAGCAGUAAUUGGUUAAGUAGCUAUUAUUCUGACAAGCUACAAAAGGGACUUGCAUUUUCUUAACUCUCAGAAAUUUUUUGUAUUUUUAGUAGAGACGGGGUUUCACCGAGAAACAUCUUCUUACUGAAAGUUAUGUGAACACCCAUUAGAAACCAGGGAGAGAGAUUUCAUUUCUUCCAGAGUAGGUUCAAUGCCUAGUUUUACCCUAUCAGAAUUUUGUCCGGGGCACUUAUCCAGUGACAAUUUUUUUUUCAUAAGAGCUAUUUUUCGUAAGACUGCCCAAAAUCUUAGGAAUGAUCCAAUUUUCCAGUAAUGACUAAUAUAUUAAGAUGCAUAUGAAGGCUCCUCUUUCAUUAUGAUAGUCACCCUCUCACCAUUGCCUACCGAAUACUGUCUCAACUCAUCGAACUGCCUGACUUUUCACAACGAAGCCUUUAAAGUUUAUUCAAAACUUCUCUCCUCACAUUCACCCUGUCCACCAGCGAGACCACCCCUCCCAUUGUCUCCAGAAUAAAUAUGGUGUUCCCACCUCUGGGAAAGUUAACAAUGACAAUUAUAUCAAUUGCUAAUAUUUGUUGAACACUUACAUCACUUGUUUGCUCUUUAGGCUACGUUGAUUGAUGUGAAUUGCAAUGGACACUCCGAUGCCGUUGGGAAGCACUUCUUGUCUGUUGUACUCAACACAAAGAACUGUCCACUCUUGAUAUUUUUUUUGUAAAAGCCUGUAUCAUGUCUUCCCAGACAAAUGUUCCAGGAAAGUAUGAGAUUUUGUCUCGUACUACUUGUUUUCACACACAAUGUCUCACACAGAGCAGGCACUCCACAAAUAAAUUACUAGUCCAGCAACCCUUUAUUACACAACUGUUACAUACUCCAUGCAAACAAGGAAAGCAAGUUAGAACAAAUGAAACACAACUUCAGGAAUAGUUUGUUGUUCAUUUGAAUUUGCUGAUAUUUUUAUGUUUGACUUUAGAGGAAUUUGAAUGAUUUAGGUCGGAAUUGCAUUUCUACAGCUGGCUGGCAGGACAACUUUGAACAGUCUACAGAGCUCCUAUUUUCCUCUCUCUGAAGUGAGGGUAACAACUGGUAAAAGUGUUGUAUGUCUAAAAUCACAAAAGUGAUGUAAAGCUUUACUUUUCAAAUUUUCUUGUGCUUAAAAAUCAUCUGGAAUCUUGUAAAAAGGGCUGUGGUCUAAAAGAAAGAGCCUGAGAUUCUGCAUUUCAGACAAGCUCCCAGAGAAGGUAAAUGAUGGCCCAUCGGCUACAGCUUGAGUAGCAAUGCUAUAAAGCACCUAAUAUUAAUACUCACUCUGAAAUGUUGUCCUCCCCUUCCUCCCUCCAUCUUCCUAUUUGAAAAUUCCAGGAGACAGAAAUGGAUUUUUAUUUACUCCAAACGUCCAGUCUGAUGGUCUCUCAAUUGUGUUCCUCGUUUAAAAUAGUGCGGCUCCUGCACUUUGUUUAACUCUGCUUGACAAUCAGUGAUUUGUGAUUCUGCUCUUUCCUGAGCAUGUUUAUAAAAUGACGACCUUGGGAUUGGAGUCUCUGCUGCCCAAAUGCAGGGAGCAGACUUUCUAUGGAAGAAUUGUGAAAGGUCAUUUUACCACUGUUUUUUUCUUUCUUCUUGUCUUUCUUUUUGUUUUUUUGCCUUGGCUUCAUAUGCUAAUGGAAUCAACAUCCCCAUUUGCUAUUUUAAUGUUUCUUAGAAAGCUUUAUCUCAGAAUUUCCUAUGGUUUGUAUGUGCAUUAGUCUUCUAGGUGAAUCAGAGGUUUCCUGCUAUAACACCAUGAGGUUUCUCAAUAGACCCUCUUGGCUCCUUGUUGAGUCUUUUGAAUGACUUUAUUAUAAUAAAGUUGACUUGGAGCCAGAGGAGGCAGAGCUCCAGUGUUGGGCUUUCUGUAGAAUUUUAUGGGUUUUUCUCAGAAGUUUAAUGCCAGUUUAAUGGAGUUUUAUAACUAUUAAUACUCUACCACUCCAGCUGCGCUAAGAAAUAUGUAACUAAACAAUAACUUGAAAUAGGUAAAUUCAUGAUUAAGUUGCACUAAAAACUAAUGCCUCUUGGCCAUAGUUCAUAAUUUCCAAAGGCACAUCAUUUAGAAUGAUUGGUAACUUUAGCCUUGUAACUCUUUCAAGGAGAAAGGCUGUGAGCUUAAAUCACUACAUUAAGCUGACAGUGAGGCUCAUAUUUUCUGAGCUAAAGAUAUAUUUUUAUGGCCACACAGUGGACUCUGUUUAUCACUCAUCAUAAACCAUAGGAAACCAUUUUUGUUUUAAAUUAGGUGCUUAGGCUUUUGUCCUGUAAUCUGUUUCUUUAUUUCCCCUUUUCACUUUUGUUGGUCCAUUUUCAACAACUCCCAAUCGUCUUCCGUUUCCUGAAAACAGCUCAUAUUUUAUAUCUCAGCUUCUUUAAAGGUAUUUCAUCCUAGUUGAGGUCACCUUAAUUUACACCUCAAAUUACAGUUCCAGAGCCAACUUCUUUGCUGCUGAUAUUGAGUAGUAAUCCUACUAAAGAGUCCAAUUUUAAAAUGAGGAACAGUCUUAUCCUACAAUGCCAGGCAUAAGAAGCCCAUGAAUUUUGCAUAUAUCUUUAGUACUUUAAUUUAUUGAAUUACAUUUCUCCACUUCUUUGAGCCACUUAGUCAAUUACACUUCAUUCUGCUGCCUCGUCUGGUUCUAGAAGCUGUCUGUUCACAAAGACCAUAACUAAGUCAGUUUUUCCCAGACGAGGCAACAGCCGCAAAUCAUCUGAAAGUGAAAUGACUGUGGAAUUUGAGGUUUAAUUGUUUUUAAGCCAUCUUGAUUAUGUUUAUUAAAAUAGAAGGUCUUGUCAAGUUAGACCUCUCUCUAUUUCUGUCUGUCUUUCUCCUCACCUCCCUCACUGACUUUUCAGCUCACUGAGGCCCAUCCUUUUAUUGCCUGAUUUUAUACAGUUGGAUGAGAAACACAUACUGGGCAGUGGCCACAGCCCCAUCAACUGAAAGGAAUAUGAUGGGAUCAGAAGUCCUCUUAAUGAAAAACUGUAUCUUUAAUUCCUGUGGAAUUUUAAAACAUGUGCAGUGCAAUCUAUAAAUGGCCAAAUAAAAAAAGAGCAAAUAAACAUAAGAUGUUACUGUGAUCUGGUAUAAAGCCUAUAUGGCAUAGCUGAGUUUCUACCCUGCCCUAACUCCACUUAUCUUGAAGAAAAAGGAUGCCUGUGAUCAAAAUUUUUCUUUGCAAACCAGACUAGCUGAAUUUCUACCCUGCUCUGACUCCACUUAUCUUGAAGAGAAAGGAUGCCUGUGAUCAAAAGUUUCCUUUGUAACCAGACCAGUUGAAACUGGUUAAAACCAAGAUAGCAGACCAAACGAUGUCAAAAGACUUUAGGCUUCAUUACGAUCUCAUUUCCAUGCUAAAUGACACUUCCAACAGUGCCAUGACAGUUGAUAUGUGCCAUGACAGCAACCAGAAUAAGCCAGAAAAGGACAAAAAGGAAGGCAGCACUCUGGUUCCAGGAAGUUCAUCACCUGUAUUAGUCUGUUUUCAUGCUGCUGAUAAAGACACACCAGAGACUGGGUAAUUUAUAAAGUAAAAGAGGUUUAAUGAACUUACAGUUCCAUGUGGCUGAGAAGGCUUCACAAUCAUGGUGGAGGGCGAGGGCGAAAGGCACUUCUUACAUGACAGCAGCUAGAUGGAGUUAAAGAGCCAAACAAAAGGGCUUUACCUUUAUAAACCCAUUACAGACUUAAUCACUACCAUGAGAACAGCAUGGGGAAAACUGCUCCCAUGAUUCAAUUAUCUCCCACUGGGUCCCUCCCACAACACGUGGGAAUUAUGGGAGCUACAAUUCAAGAUGAGAUUUGGGUGGGGACACAGCCAAACAAUAUCACCACCCAUUUCUGGAAAAAGACAUAGACAUUCUUCCUCUCAUGUUUAAUGUCCAACACCUUCAUCAGAAAACCCUAUAUUUUAACCCAUUCACUCCUCACUAGUCCAGGAGGAGUCAUGCUCCUGUUUCUCAGUUCCAUGGUGAUUGAGUAAAGCCUGCACUGCUUGACACUCACUUUCAGUUUUGUAUAUUGGCUUUCUGACACCAAACAGAGAGACCCCAUCCUUGGGGAGACCAGCUUUGUGGGUAACAGUUUAUCAUGUUUACAGUGAUUUUUUUUUUCGUAAUUUCUAGAACUGUUAAAAGAAAGCUUUAACACAAUAUCUUCUUACACAAUUGAAUAAGGAAAGUGGGCCUGCUCCUGAGCAUUGUAGGAGGUAAAACUCUAUGUUUUGCUCCUGAUUACUUUGGAGCUUUUUCUCACUCAGCUCUGUCUGCCUUUCUAUUGCCUUUAUUUGUUUACAUGCCUAACUUUAUCUUUCCA